RNAcentral lists this ribosomal RNA (216 nucleotides) under Campeiostachys nutans. RNAcentral describes it as "Elymus nutans partial small subunit ribosomal RNA". The stretch from base 44 to 216 matches the Rfam family "Eukaryotic small subunit ribosomal RNA", at positions 689 to 864 of the family's 1831-position model. The record is from RNAcentral. Lineage: Eukaryota; Viridiplantae; Streptophyta; Magnoliopsida; Poales; Poaceae.
GGGUUUACCCAUUGGUCAGGCUUAAUUGUCUGUACUGGUGAGAUAAAUCUCUACCUUCUGAGGAACUUUCAUGCCAUUUAUUUGGUGUUGUGGGGAACCAGGACUUUUACCUUGAAAAAAUUAGAGUGUUCAAAGCAGGCCUUUGCUCGAAUACAUUAGCAUGGAAUAAUAGAAUAGGACAUCGGUUCUAUUUUGUUGGUUUCUAGGACCGCUGUA